AAGCACGGUUGUCACGCGCCAGGCGGAGAGCGUGGAGCCACAACUGCGCCUGCGCUCUAGGCUUUCUGGCGGCCAGGAGCUACUGCAUUCCAGGUUUGGGAUGGAGCUGCAAAUUUUUUCCAUUCCGUAAAGAACGAAAAGGUGUUUCCCUUCUGAGACAAGUGUUUUCUUCAGUGCCUACUUGGAUCUUAGGAAGGACGAAAAUGUCUAGCUUCUGGGUCUAUAUCCUCAUAUGUAAACAAUAUGACACUUGGAUUGAAGUGAGCAGUAGGCUUGCCAUGUGUUUAUACUGUACUUCCCUCCCUUGGAUGAGAACAUGAAGAGCAAAGGAAGUGAACCGUCCAAGUCUUACAGGUUUCCGGGCUUGUGCUUCUUGGUCCUGCCCAGCCUCCGCCCUUGUUCCUAUUCUGUUCUCUGUGUCAGCCCAGCCAUGGCACUCUUCUGCCUUUUUCUCAUCUUGAUUUCCUUGGAG
Bubalus bubalis (water buffalo) is the source of this 472-nucleotide long non-coding RNA. RefSeq lists it as uncharacterized. The transcript is spliced from 3 exons. The record is from RefSeq and is a predicted model, not a curated record. NCBI's taxonomy places the organism in Eukaryota, Metazoa, Chordata, Mammalia, Artiodactyla, Bovidae.